This 506-nucleotide small RNA is filed under the name Cladosporium cladosporioides. Its description in RNAcentral is "eukaryotic LSU rRNA". The stretch from base 189 to 342 matches the Rfam family "5.8S ribosomal RNA". The record is from RNAcentral. Lineage: Eukaryota; Fungi; Ascomycota; Dothideomycetes; Cladosporiales; Cladosporiaceae.
UUUCCGUAGGUGAACCUGCGGAGGGAUCAUUACAAGUGACCCCGGUCUAACCACCGGGAUGUUCAUAACCCUUUGUUGUCCGACUCUGUUGCCUCCGGGGCGACCCUGCCUUCGGGCGGGGGCUCCGGGUGGACACUUCAAACUCUUGCGUAACUUUGCAGUCUGAGUAAACUUAAUUAAUAAAUUAAAACUUUUAACAACGGAUCUCUUGGUUCUGGCAUCGAUGAAGAACGCAGCGAAAUGCGAUAAGUAAUGUGAAUUGCAGAAUUCAGUGAAUCAUCGAAUCUUUGAACGCACAUUGCGCCCCCUGGUAUUCCGGGGGGCAUGCCUGUUCGAGCGUCAUUUCACCACUCAAGCCUCGCUUGGUAUUGGGCAACGCGGUCCGCCGCGUGCCUCAAAUCGACCGGCUGGGUCUUCUGUCCCCUAAGCGUUGUGGAAACUAUUCGCUAAAGGGUGUUCGGGAGGCUACGCCGUAAAACAACCCCAUUUCUAAGGCGACCUCGGAU